GUGCCAGCCGCCGCGGUAACACGGGGGUUGCGAGCGUUGUCCGGAAUUACUGGGCGUAAAGCGUGCGCAGGCGGUGAUGUAAGACAGUUGUGAAAUCCCCGGGCUCAACCUGGGAACUGCAUCUGUGACUGCAUCGCUGGAGUGCGGCAGAGGGGGAUGGAAUUCCGCGUGUAGCAGUGAAAUGCGUAGAUAUGCGGAGGAACACCAAUGGCGAAGGCAAUCCCCUGGGCCUGCACUGACGCUCAUGCACGAAAGCGUGGGGAGCAAACAGGAUUAGAUACCCUGGUAGUCCACGCCCUAAACGAUGUCAACUGGUUGUUGGGUCUUCACUGACUCAGUAACGAAGCUAACGCGUGAAGUUGACCGCCUGGGGAGUACGGCCGCAAGGUUGAAACUUAAAGAAAUUGACGG
This 411-nucleotide ribosomal RNA is filed under the name uncultured bacterium. Its description in RNAcentral is "bacterial SSU rRNA". It matches the Rfam family "Bacterial small subunit ribosomal RNA", at positions 505 to 916 of the family's 1533-position model. The record is from RNAcentral.